RNAcentral lists this ribosomal RNA (1008 nucleotides) under Triticum aestivum (bread wheat). RNAcentral's name for it is "partial small subunit ribosomal RNA". Lineage: Eukaryota; Viridiplantae; Streptophyta; Magnoliopsida; Poales; Poaceae. The record is from RNAcentral.
AUGCUCGGCUUCCUUCGUGGUUUCUGGCUGGAGGGCUGCCACUGGGGCGAAAAAGGUCCCGUCCCACGCUUCACGUCGACCGCGAAAUUCGGCGCGCGCAUUCCCGACGACGAAUGGGACGACUACGACUACUCUGCGUGGGACUGCCGCCAUGGCCGCGUCCUUCUUGGGGAUGCGCGUUACUCCGCGCUCCUCGUCUGGGACCCCAUGACGGGCUGCCGGAGGGGGCUGGACUGGCCCAACCUGGCAGACAACAGCCGCGGGGUUGCCGUGCUCUGCGCCGUUAGCGGCUGUGACCACCACACUUGUCACGCGGCUCCGUUCCAGGUGGUUUUUGUCGGCGUGGAAAUGGGAGAAGAUGGGGAUGAUGAUGAUUGUGCUGCAUUCGCUUGUGUGUCCUUGCCAGAGCCCGGCGACUGGAGCAAGCCAUGCCCUCCAUGUGAUCGGUGGAGCGAGCCAUGCCCUCUUCUUCAUCUUCCAGCCGAUGCAUUCAUCAGGCCAAUCCCCCCUGUCCUCAUCCAAGAAGCACUUCACUUCAUGAUUCAGUCUCUUAAAGACGAUAGUGAAGAAAUUCUCAAGUAUGACUUGAGCUCUAAUAGCUUAUCACUGAUUGGUGCACCGAUUGAGGAUUCCGAAACUGUCACUUCCUCUAUCCUCAUGGCGAUGGAGGAUGACAGUUUGGGGUAUGCACAUGUCAAUGGAUCAACCUUCUACCUAUGGUCCAGACUGAUGGAUUCCAACGGAGUUGCCUCAUGGAGUCAACGUACAAUUAUCAAUCUCAUGAGCAUUCUCCCCAUCCAAAAUCCUGUGGAAACAAUUAGAGUAGUUGGAUCCGUGGAAGGCGGUGAUGUCAUUUUCCUCACCACGGUGCUGGGCAUCUAUGAGAUUAACGUCGAUUCGCAGCGAUGGAAGAAGAUAGGGAAGAGAGAAAAUUUAGAUGCUGUGAUUCCAUACAUGAGUUUCUACAAUCGACAAGAAAGGGUGAUGCCCAAUGACGUGGCGCAUUGA